AUGUCCCUGAAUCAAGGCCAUUAAUUUUCUGAAGCUGUUGGUUUCAAGCAGGAGCCUAAAGUAUCUUUCUGUUGUCUGUUGGCUAUUUCAGAAAUGUAAUGGUUAAUUCCUUAGAAAGAAACAACC
Molecule: small nucleolar RNA, 126 nt
Organism: Cavia porcellus (domestic guinea pig)
Lineage: Eukaryota; Metazoa; Chordata; Mammalia; Rodentia; Caviidae
Source: Ensembl